AAAGACUCAAUUUCUGGGUUUCCGUGUCCAACGUUUGACCGUCCGUCUUGUUCGAAAAAAUUAUGAAAAAAUUUAAAAAGAUAAGUCACACAUGAGGUAUUAAUCAUGUUUUAUCAUCUAACAACAACGAAAGUACUAAUUAUAAAAAAAAUUUCAUAUAAGACGAACAGUCAAACGUUGGACAAAAAAACUCAGGAAUUGAGUCUUU
This is a non-coding RNA of Oryza glumipatula, 208 nucleotides long. NCBI's taxonomy places the organism in Eukaryota, Viridiplantae, Streptophyta, Magnoliopsida, Poales, Poaceae. The record is from Rfam.